Non-coding RNA from Aedes albopictus (Asian tiger mosquito), 74 nucleotides. The record is from Rfam. NCBI's taxonomy places the organism in Eukaryota, Metazoa, Arthropoda, Insecta, Diptera, Culicidae.
UGUUCUGUGUCUUAGUUGGGUAAAGCGCCGGUAAAGCGAAUACGAAGUCGAGGGUUCGAAUCCCACCAGAACAC